CCAAUGAGGAGUUGAAUGGCCGCAKUWUAUUGACUGUGCAAAGGUAGCAUAAUCAUUAGUUUUUUAAUUGAAAACUGGUAUGAAGGGUUGGACGAGAAAAUAGCUGUCUCUUUAUAAAUUUUUUAUAAUUUUAUUUUUAAGUUAAAAAGCUUAAAUAUACUUAAAAGACGAGAAGACCCUAUAGAGUUUUAUAUAAUUAUUUUAUAAAUAAUAUUUUUAGGAUAUGAUAUAUUUUUUAAAAUAUUAUAUUUAAUUGGGGUGAUUAAAAAAUUUAAUGAACUUUUUUUUUAUAAAAACAUUAAUUUAUGAAUUAUUGAUCCAUUAAAAUAAUGAUUAUAAGAUUAAAUUACCUUAGGGAUAACAGCGUAAUUUCUUUGAAGAGUUCUAAUCGAUAAAGGAGUUUGCGACCUCGA
This 413-nucleotide ribosomal RNA is filed under the name Tachyusa sp. 1 JCT-2008. Its description in RNAcentral is "partial 16S ribosomal RNA". The record is from RNAcentral. Lineage: Eukaryota; Metazoa; Arthropoda; Insecta; Coleoptera; Staphylinidae.